UGGCGGACGGGUGAGUAAUGUCUGGGAAACUGCCCGAUGGAGGGGGAUAACUACUGGAAACGGUAGCUAAUACCGCAUAACGUCGCAAGACCAAAGAGGGGGACCUUCGGGCCUCUUGCCAUCGGAUGUGCCCAGAUGGGAUAGCUAGUAGGUGGGGUAACGGCUCACCUAGGCGACGAUCCCUAGCUGGCUGAGAGGAUGACCAGCCACACUGGAACUGAGACACGGUCCAG
RNAcentral lists this ribosomal RNA (233 nucleotides) under uncultured bacterium. RNAcentral describes it as "partial 16S ribosomal RNA". It matches the Rfam family "Bacterial small subunit ribosomal RNA", at positions 96 to 334 of the family's 1533-position model. The record is from RNAcentral.